GGGGUUGUGGCUCAGUGGUAGAGCUCACAACUUGCACGUGUGAGGCCCUGGGUUCGAUUCUCAGCACCA
Molecule: non-coding RNA, 69 nt
Organism: Ictidomys tridecemlineatus (thirteen-lined ground squirrel)
Lineage: Eukaryota; Metazoa; Chordata; Mammalia; Rodentia; Sciuridae
Source: Rfam